UGGGAGCGUGGCUUGCCCGCGAUAAACGAUAACGCGGUCUACCUGUUGCACCGCGGUGUCCCCAUCGCGGGCAAGCCACGCUCCCA
RNAcentral lists this unclassified non-coding RNA (86 nucleotides) under Pseudomonas lini. Lineage: Bacteria; Pseudomonadati; Pseudomonadota; Gammaproteobacteria; Pseudomonadales; Pseudomonadaceae. The record is from RNAcentral.